RNAcentral lists this ribosomal RNA (451 nucleotides) under uncultured bacterium. RNAcentral describes it as "partial 16S ribosomal RNA". It matches the Rfam family "Bacterial small subunit ribosomal RNA", at positions 28 to 523 of the family's 1533-position model. The record is from RNAcentral.
GAUGAACGCUAGCGGCAGGCCUAAUACAUGCAAGUCGAACGGGUGUAGCAAUACAUCAGUGGCAGACGGGUGAGUAACUCGUGGGAACCUUCCUAGGGGUACGGAACAACUCAGGGAAACUUGAGCUAAUACCGUAUACGUCCGUGAGGAGAAAGAUUUAUCGCCCUUAGACGGGCCCGCGUCGGAUUAGCUAGUUGGUGGGGUAACGGCCUACCAAGGCGACGAUCCGUAGCUGAUCUUAGAGGAUGAUCAGCCACACUGGGACUGAGAAACGGCCCAGACUCCUACGGGAGGCAGCAGUGGGGAAUCUUGGACAAUGGGCGCAAGCCUGAUCCAGCCAUGCCGCGUGAGUGAAGAAGGUCUUCGGAUUGUAAAGCUCUUUUGCCAGGGACGAUAAUGACGGUACCUGGAGAAUAAGCCCCGGCAAACUUCGUGCCAGCCGCCGCCGUAA